AUGGUGGUGUUCAAAAUAACGGUGUGCGUGUUUCUAUUAGGCAUUGUUCGGCUGACACCAGCCCUCCCUCACAUCAGCUGCAGACAGAGCAUCACUUACCUGGUCUUACAGCACAUUGGGGCAACCCUAUAUCCUGACUCUAGCCUCGGUGCUCCUUCAUAUGGUGUUAGAGGACUUCCCUUCAUACUUUCCUUUGCACCCUUUGCAGGGCCCUCACCAGUGAGGAGCAUGCCCCACCCUUUCUCUCCUUUCCCCCAAGAAACUAUUCCCCAUCACCCCCGCUAUACAGACUCCUUCCAUAGGACCAUCAGAUUCAGAAAUCCCCCUAUGACAAGCAGCUUUCAUCUCAUAUUCAAGAACACCAUUUCCCCUCCUUUGGGGAUAUAUGUCAUGCUUUCUCCAAAACCCUCUCAGCACACUCUCCUCUGUGCCAGUGGCAGCUGCAAACUGUUCCUUGGCAAGCAUCCGUUCAGGGAGGAGGAUGCCAACUUCCCUUUCUUACAGUUUGUGAGUGAUUUCCUUGGAUCUAUGAGGAUGGUUGGAGCAUUUCCAGUUUAUCCAUCACCACGGGGAGGAGAGAGAAAAAGCCCUCUCACCAUAAACACUCUGCCAUGCCUGGGACUCUCUCAGGGACUGCUCUCCCCUUCCAGGGUUCUCCUCACACAGGCCUGGGGGUGGAGUGAAGGGUGUGGCAACAGACCUUCAUUUACAGCUUUGGAUUCUUACUGCCAAUUCCAGGACAUCAGGAAAAUUCUGACUCAACAUCCCCACUACUACUCUCAAUCUCUGCAUGACAUCACCAACCGGUACCCUCAGCUCUCCUUGGCUUACACUUGCCUUAGUCCAUUGACUUCAUUCACUCUAUCAUUUAACACUGAGCUUCCACAGAGUGCAAGCCACCUUGCACCCUGUGGAAAUGGUGAAAUGGUGAUGAGGAGGGCGGAGGUAAGAAGCAAACAAGUACCUGAAAUAGAAGUGCUGGUUUGGAGGCAGGAAAGUUAA
This 1002-nucleotide long non-coding RNA is filed under the name Canis lupus familiaris (dog). Its description in RNAcentral is "lncRNA (ENSCAFG00030009834.1)". The record is from RNAcentral. Lineage: Eukaryota; Metazoa; Chordata; Mammalia; Carnivora; Canidae.